UACAGGGGGUGCAAACGUUGCUCGGAAUUAUUGGGCGUAAAGCGCGCGUAGGCGGCUACUUAAGUCGGAUGUGAAAGCCCUUGGCUCAACUGAGGAAGUGCACCCGAAACUGAGUGGCUUGAGUACUAAAGAGGGUCGCGGAAUUCCCGGUGUAGAGGUGAAAUUCGUAGAUAUCUGGAGGAACACCGGUGGCGAAGGCGGCAUCCUGGACCGGUAUUGACGCUGAGGCGCGAAAGCUAGGGGAGCAAACGGG
This 253-nucleotide ribosomal RNA is filed under the name uncultured bacterium. RNAcentral describes it as "partial 16S ribosomal RNA". It matches the Rfam family "Bacterial small subunit ribosomal RNA", at positions 524 to 776 of the family's 1533-position model. The record is from RNAcentral.